ACCUCUUAACUGCUCCCUUUAUGAUAAGGACAUAGGGUAUGUAUCAGAGAAGAAAUCUUGCUGUCAGUUCCACGAAUCAAGUUACAGGAGCUCCUCUGGCUUUACACUGACAAGGCAUAAAUACAGCCCCUUUGAAUUAUUUUUUUUUUGUUUGCAAGAUCGGGCAUCUGGGUUUCCUGCUACCAUUUCCUCUGUCCCCUCCCAGAGAGCCCAGGGCUGCUCUGCUCUGAGGAACACCAGCCUCAAUGUCCAAAUGUCCCUGCUGGAGGUGUGAUCAUUGAAGUCAGCAGGACUCAGGGACGGUGAGGCUGAUACUCCCAGGACUGAUAUUGCCAACUCACAGAGCCAACAAGCCUCUUUUGGAAGCUCCACAAUACUCUGCUUAGGAAUGCUGAACCAAAUGGGAAUACACUUCCUGACCUGGAAAGUGUUUGUGGUCUUUCAUAACACUUUGUUCUCUGCACUUGAUAAAUCCACAUUUUUUUCCCCAGAAGUUUUUUUUUUUUUUUUUUUUUUUUUUUUUUUUUUUUUUAAACCCGCAACACUUCGAAAAUGUCAAAUUCCUGCGGCAGCCCAGAAGACGCGGGGAGGCAGCGAGGCAGAGAUGGCAAGAUAAGGAGGGAGGAUGGGGAUGUGGAUGAUUGCCAGCCGGAGGGAAAGAGGCUGAGGCUGGGCAGCGAAGGAGGGAAGGAGCCAGGAGCAGCAGACGCGGUGAUGCCUUGCUCAGGCAGAGAAGAGCCCGUGCCCGGAGCAGGAGGCGAAGGCAAAAGUGUGUGUGUGCUUCAAGCAGCUGGGCUCUGAUACAGGUUGGUGCCCUGAAGCUGCUGCUGCAAAGGAAGGACUCAACAACCAGUGGAAUGAGGAGAAGGGAAAAUGUACCUGCAUGUAAUAUUUGACAUCUCCUGCUCUGAGUUAUGUGAAGUAGCAAGCUGUUGAUGAGAUUUAUUGGAUGGCAAGCUGAAGCUGAGCUGUUUAAAGAUCCCAUGGUCUAUGGCAAAACAGCUGCAGGAAGGUUGCUCUUUUUGAAGUGCUGCAAGUUUGACUAUAAAUCUGAUGUUAUGACUCUGGUUUCCAGUGCCAAGAACAGUCCUCAAGGUCCAGCAUAUCACCAUUUCCCAAUGUCAAACAUAACCUUGAUAACCAACAGAAAAACUGAGGAUCUUGUAAGGCUGGUUAGUCUCAGGAUGCAAAUUUCACAGCAAAUGGAACCCAUUAACAAGAUUAGCAAUGCAAAAAGGCAAAGCUCAAGAGGAGGAGUUUAAGGAGUGAUGGCAGGUUAAAAUGGAGCAAGG
Molecule: long non-coding RNA, 1292 nt
Filed under: Ficedula albicollis (Collared flycatcher)
Lineage: Eukaryota; Metazoa; Chordata; Aves; Passeriformes; Muscicapidae
Description: lncRNA (ENSFALG00000016532.2)
Source: RNAcentral